GGGUUGUGAGGUUAAGCGACUAAGCGUACACGGUGGAUGCCCUGGCAGUCAGAGGCGAUGAAGGGCGUCUAAUCUGCGAUAAGCGCCGGUAAGGUGAUAUGAACCGUUAUAACCGGCGAUACCCGAAUGGGGAAACCCAGUGUGAUUCGUCACACUAUCAUUAACUGAAUCCAUAGGUUAAUGAGGCGAACCGGGGGAACUGAAACAUCUAAGUACCCCGAGGAAAAGAAAUCAACCGAGAUUCCCCCAGUAGCGGCGAGCGAACGGGGAGGAGCCCAGAGCCUGAAUCAGCAUGUGUGUUAGUGGAAGCGUCUGGAAAGGCGCGCGAUACAGGGUGACAGCCCCGUACACAAAAGCGCAUGUGCUGUGAGCUCGAUGAGUAGGGCGGGACACGUGGUAUCCUGUCUGAAUAUGGGGGGACCAUCCUCCAAGGCUAAAUACUCCUGACUGACCGAUAGUGAACCAGUACCGUGAGGGAAAGGCGAAAAGAACCCCGGCGAGGGGAGUGAAAAAGAACCUGAAACCGUGUACGUACAAGCAGUGGGAGCACAGGUUUACCUGUGUGACUGCGUACCUUUUGUAUAAUGGGUCAGCGACUUAUAUUCUGUAGCAAGGUUAACCGAAUAGGGGAGCCGGAGGGAAACCGAGUCUUAAUUGGGCGUUAAGUUGCAGGGUAUAGACCCGAAACCCGGUGAUCUAGCCAUGGGCAGGUUGAAGGUUGGGUAACACUAACUGGAGGACCGAACCGACUAAUGUUGAAAAAUUAGCGGAUGACCUGUGGCUGGGGGUGAAAGGCCAAUCAAACCGGGAGAUAGCUGGUUCUCCCCGAAAGCUAUUUAGGUAGCGCCUCGUGAAUUCAUCUCCGGGGGUAGAGCACUGUUUCGGCUAGGGGGCCAUCCCGGCUUACCAACCCGAUGCAAACUGCGAAUACCGGAGAAUGUUAUCACGGGAGACACACGGCGGGUGCUAACGUCCGUCGUGAAGAGGGAAACAACCCAGACCGCCAGCUAAGGUCCCAAAGUCAUGGUUAAGUGGGAAACGAUGUGGGAAGGCCCAGACAGCCAGGAUGUUGGCUUAGAAGCAGCCAUCAUUUAAAGAAAGCGUAAUAGCUCACUGGUCGAGUCGGCCUGCGCGGAAGAUGUAACGGGGCUAAACCAUGCACCGAAGCUGCGGCAGCGACGCUUAUGCGUUGUUGGGUAGGGGAGCGUUCUGUAAGCCUGCGAAGGUGGCCUGUGAGGGUUGCUGGAGGUAUCAGAAGUGCGAAUGCUGACAUAAGUAACGAUAAAGCGGGUGAAAAGCCCGCUCGCCGGAAGACCAAGGGUUCCUGUCCAACGUUAAUCGGGGCAGGGUGAGUCGACCCCUAAGGCGAGGCCGAAAGGCGUAGUCGAUGGGAAACGGGUUAAUAUUCCCGUACUUGGUGUUACUGCGAAGGGGGGACGGAGAAGGCUAUGUUGGCCGGGCGACGGUUGUCCCGGUUUAAGCGUGUAGGUGUGUGUUCCAGGUAAAUCCGGUUCACUUUAACACUGAGGCGUGACGACGAGGCACUACGGUGCUGAAGCAACAAAUGCCCUGCUUCCAGGAAAAGCCUCUAAGCAUCAGGUAACAUCAAAUCGUACCCCAAACCGACACAGGUGGUCAGGUAGAGAAUACCAAGGCGCUUGAGAGAACUCGGGUGAAGGAACUAGGCAAAAUGGUGCCGUAACUUCGGGAGAAGGCACGCUGACACGUAGGUGAAGUGAUUUACUCAUGGAGCUGAAGUCAGUCGAAGAUACCAGCUGGCUGCAACUGUUUAUUAAAAACACAGCACUGUGCAAACACGAAAGUGGACGUAUACGGUGUGACGCCUGCCCGGUGCCGGAAGGUUAAUUGAUGGGGUCAGCGCAAGCGAAGCUCCUGAUCGAAGCCCCGGUAAACGGCGGCCGUAACUAUAACGGUCCUAAGGUAGCGAAAUUCCUUGUCGGGUAAGUUCCGACCUGCACGAAUGGCGUAAUGAUGGCCAGGCUGUCUCCACCCGAGACUCAGUGAAAUUGAACUCGCUGUGAAGAUGCAGUGUACCCGCGGCAAGACGGAAAGACCCCGUGAACCUUUACUAUAGCUUGACACUGAACAUUGAGCCUUGAUGUGUAGGAUAGGUGGGAGGCUUUGAAGUGUGGACGCCAGUCUGCAUGGAGCCGACCUUGAAAUACCACCCUUUAAUGUUUGAUGUUCUAACGUGGACCCGUUACCCGGGUUGCGGACAGUGUCUGGUGGGUAGUUUGACUGGGGCGGUCUCCUCCUAAAGAGUAACGGAGGAGCACGAAGGUUGGCUAAUCCUGGUCGGACAUCAGGAGGUUAGUGCAAUGGCAUAAGCCAGCUUGACUGCGAGCGUGACGGCGCGAGCAGGUGCGAAAGCAGGUCAUAGUGAUCCGGUGGUUCUGAAUGGAAGGGCCAUCGCUCAACGGAUAAAAGGUACUCCGGGGAUAACAGGCUGAUACCGCCCAAGAGUUCAUAUCGACGGCGGUGUUUGGCACCUCGAUGUCGGCUCAUCACAUCUGGGGCUGAAGUAGGUCCCAAGGGUAUGGCUGUUCGCCAUUUAAAGUGGUACGCGAGCUGGGUUUAGAACGUCGUGAGACAGUUCGGUCCCUAUCUGCCGUGGGCGCUGGAGAACUGAGGGGGGCUGCUCCUAGUACGAGAGGACCGGAGUGGACGCAUCACUGGUGUUCGGGUUGUCAUGCCAAUGGCACUGCCCGGUAGCUAAAUGCGGAAGAGAUAAGUGCUGAAAGCAUCUAAGCACGAAACUUGCCCCGAGAUGAGUUCUCCCUGAGACUUAAAGUCUCCUGAAGGAACGUUGAAGACGACGACGUUGAUAGGCCGGGUGUGUAAGCGCAGCGAUGCGUUGAGCUAACCGGUACUAAUGAACCGUGAGGCUUAACCUUACAACGCCGAAG
This 2927-nucleotide ribosomal RNA is filed under the name Salmonella enterica subsp. enterica serovar Enteritidis str. EC20110353. RNAcentral's name for it is "bacterial LSU rRNA". It matches the Rfam family "Bacterial large subunit ribosomal RNA". Lineage: Bacteria; Pseudomonadati; Pseudomonadota; Gammaproteobacteria; Enterobacterales; Enterobacteriaceae. The record is from RNAcentral.